CUUGAGAGAGGUCAGCGUGAGCCCCUUGCCUCACACCGGCCCCUCCCACGCUGAGAGAGGUCAGUGUGAGCCCUUGCCUCACACCGGCCCCUCCCACGCGGACAGAGGUCAGCGUGAGCCCCUUGCCUCACACCGGCCCCUCCCACGCUGAGAGAGGUCAGCCCAAGCCCCUUGCCUCACACCGGCCCCUCCCACGCGGACAGAGGUCAGCCCGAGCUCCUUGCCUCACACCGGCCCCUCCCACGCUGAGAGAGGUCAGUGUGAGCCCUUGCCUCACACCGGCCCCUCCCACGCGGACAGAGGUCAGCGUGAGCCCCUUGCCUCACACCGGCCCCUCCCACGCUGAGAGAGGUCAGUGUGAGCCCUUGCCUCACACCGGCCCCUCCCACGCGGACAGAGGUCAGCGUGAGCCCCUUGCCUCACACCGGCCCCUCCCACGCUGAGAGAGGUCAGCCCGAGCCCCUUGCCUCACACCGGCCCCUCCCACGCUGAGAGAGGUCAGCGUGAGCCCCUUGUCUCACACCGGCCCCUCCCACGCUGAGAGAGGUCAGCCCGAGCCCCUUGCCUCACACCGGCCCCUCCCACGCUGAGAGAGGUGUGAGCCCCUUGUCUCACACCGGCCCCUCCCACGCGGACAGAGGUCAGCGUGAGCCCCUUGCCUCACCCCGGCCCCUCCCACGCUGAGAGAGGUCAGUGUGAGCCCUUGCCUCACACCGGCCCCUCCCACGCGGACAGAGGUCAGCGUGAGCCCCUUGCCUCACCCCGGCCCCUCCCACGCUGAGAGAGGUCAGUGUGAGCCCUUGCCUCACACCGGCCCCUCCCACGCGGACAGAGGUC
RNAcentral lists this long non-coding RNA (837 nucleotides) under Homo sapiens (human). Its description in RNAcentral is "HSALNT0317676". The record is from RNAcentral. Lineage: Eukaryota; Metazoa; Chordata; Mammalia; Primates; Hominidae.